This is a non-coding RNA of Mycena albidolilacea, 98 nucleotides long. Lineage: Eukaryota; Fungi; Basidiomycota; Agaricomycetes; Agaricales; Mycenaceae. The record is from the annotation of a GenBank genome assembly.
GCCGCCGUGGAUCAUGGUUGAUCGUCCUUUACAUGUGACUGUGUCCGAGUAAUUACAAUGAAGGGAAGGUGAUGCGGGUUCGAUUCCCCCCGGUGGCC